Molecule: ribosomal RNA, 730 nt
Filed under: uncultured Bacilli bacterium
Lineage: Bacteria; Bacillati; Bacillota; Bacilli
Description: bacterial SSU rRNA
Rfam family: Bacterial small subunit ribosomal RNA
Source: RNAcentral
UACAUGCAAGUCGACGCUUUUUCUUUCACCGGAGCUUGCUCCACCGAAAGAAAAGGAGUGGCGAACGGGUGAGUAACACGUGGGUAACCUGCCCAUCAGAAGGGGAUAACACUUGGAAACAGGUGCUAAUACCGUAUAACAAUCGAAACCGCAUGGUUUCGGUUUGAAAGGCGCUUUUGCGUCACUGAUGGAUGGACCCGCGGUGCAUUAGCUAGUUGGUGAGGUAACGGCUCACCAAGGCAACGAUGCAUAGCCGACCUGAGAGGGUGAUCGGCCACAUUGGGACUGAGACACGGCCCAAACUCCUACGGGAGGCAGCAGUAGGGAAUCUUCGGCAAUGGACGCAAGUCUGACCGAGCAACGCCGCGUGAGUGAAGAAGGUUUUCGGAUCGUAAAACUCUGUUGUUAGAGAAGAACAAGGAUGAGAGUAAAAUGUUCAUCCCUUGACGGUAUCUAACCAGAAAGCCACGGCUAACUACGUGCCAGCAGCCGCGGUAAUACGUAGGUGGCAAGCGUUGUCCGGAUUUAUUGGGCGUAAAGCGAGCGCAGGCGGUUUCUUAAGUCUGAUGUGAAAGCCCCCGGCUCAACCGGGGAGGGUCAUUGGAAACUGGGGAACUUGAGUGCAGAAGAGGAGAGUGGAAUUCCAUGUGUAGCGGUGAAAUGCGUAGAUAUAUGGAGGAACACCAGUGGCGAAGGCGGCUCUCUGGGUCUGUAACUGACGCUGAGGCUC